This is a long non-coding RNA of Artibeus jamaicensis (Jamaican fruit-eating bat), 1605 nucleotides long. RefSeq lists it as uncharacterized. The transcript has 3 exons. Lineage: Eukaryota; Metazoa; Chordata; Mammalia; Chiroptera; Phyllostomidae. The record is from RefSeq and is a predicted model, not a curated record.
CUGGAGGCGGUGACGUGACUCACCGCAGUGCAGAAGGGCAGGCUCUGCUGAGACCCACAGAGCGGGCUUCAGAGAAAUGGGUGGAAACAUUACAAGUUUGUUACAGCAGCAAUGAAAACAAAUGGCAAUAUCAUCCAGACACAAGACCCCUUAGUCACAAGGCUGACUACACCCCCAGGAGUCAGAGAAGCCGAAGAAGGACCCAGAGGGAGGUGGAGCAGUUGCAGGCCGAGCUGCUGCUUUCCGUCAAGCUCAGUAUGAGAAGAUGGACAGAACCAUAGGAUGAAAAGAACCUGCAUCAGAGGAAAACAUCACCUAGGGGAAAGCUGCCCGCAGGGUUGCGGGUGAGGGUGAGUGAGCACUGACCUUCUCUGUGUCUCACGCCUGAGAUUUGGGCUGCAUCAGUCACGGUGAUAAUGCACAACCUGGCCCUGGCUCCCCUGCUCACAGAACUCCACAGUGUCAAUGCAGAAACUUUUGCCACAGCUGCCACUGGUGUCUGGGAGAAUCAGCACUUGGGAGCCCUCACUGUCCCCCAGCUGGGAACUCACCCACCAGGGAAGCACCCCCAGCGCCGCCUCUCCCCAGUUCUUAAGCCCAUGACCUGCCCCAUGAGCUGAGCUGAUGGCUGCAAGAGCUUCUCAUUACCCAUCCCAUUUCACAGUUUAGUGGUGGUAGGUGGGCGGGGAAGAGCAUAAGAACAUUUCUGAGCAUAUGCCAUGUAUCAGAAUACUCUGCUGUGUGUUCCUUUAUCUCAUCUUAAACAUCACAAACACCCACGAAGUAGGUGCUGUUGUCUCCACUCUGCAUAAGUGGACUCUGAACACACACAAGGUUACCAGCUGGUGGUGGCAGAAUCUACAUGCAGACUGACUCUUCGGACUACAAACCCCCGGCAGUGCCCUUCCCGGGAGCCCUACUGCACUGACACACACCCAUUCCACUUCCCUGUCUCGGGGGCUCCCUUGGGGCCAGUGCCGCUGGCUGGGAAGGGCAGCGUGGGAGCCUCUGUGUGGAAGCCAAGUCAUUUCACAGAGAGCAGAGUGGGUGGAGGAUGUGUUACUGGCCUCCUCAUUUAAAACUUGGAACAUGGUUUUCCAUGGAAAAAAAUUAUGCAGAGGCGUUCCGUUUUGUAAAUGUACGCAAUGCAAAUGCACUUUGCAAAUCACCAAGAAGUAUAUAAUAUGCCUAUAAGGAAUUCCUACUCCACAGUACAUUAGCGCUAUCAUUCCAACACUUUGUGGAUUAAAUAGCCUUUUGUGAAGUAGUUGGAGAAUUUAACCACUGACUGUUACAUUGUCUCUAAGGAAAAAUACAUUCCAAUAGCCAAACAAACCGACUUACAACAGACAUUUGGAACCUAACCCAUUCACAAACUGAGAACUGCCUGGAUUAACAUGAAGAGGACACAUCAUCACCAUCUUCAUCAAGUAUUAUUUAUUAAGAAUAGUGCAAAGGGUGAAGGCUUUAGGGUAAAGAGAAAAAAGAAGGAAGUGUUAAUCUAAUUUUAAUGGCUACAGUUUCACAUCCCUGGUUGUGAAUGAACUCACACUGUUCCAAAACAACCUUUUAUCUUUCUCUUUACUUCCUUCCGCUCAUUUUGUA